This 333-nucleotide ribosomal RNA is filed under the name Triticum aestivum (bread wheat). Its description in RNAcentral is "partial small subunit ribosomal RNA". The record is from RNAcentral. Lineage: Eukaryota; Viridiplantae; Streptophyta; Magnoliopsida; Poales; Poaceae.
AUGAACUACGGUCACAUACAUUUAGGAAGGAUGGGACUCCCGAUGAAUGUUGUGCCUUAUGGGAUCGAGACUAAAGGUAUCAUGAGUAUUAUCAACUUACGGCCAAGAUAUCCUACAACUUACUUUAGUGCAUUCAAGAUUAGCGACGGAUGCUUAAUAGUGCAAGAUUGGACCAAAUAUGUGUUGGGGGAGCGCAGAGAAGUACUAGGGAGCAGCAACCAGAGGCGCCUUUCACGAUUAGGAGACAGGUUCAUCUGCAUGCUCCAACUUGAUCAAGGAGGAGAGCUACACAUGUUUUAUGUUCUUUUACCUAAGAGAGAGCAGCAGGAGUGA